Ixodes scapularis (black-legged tick) is the source of this 891-nucleotide long non-coding RNA. RefSeq lists it as uncharacterized. The transcript is spliced from 3 exons. Lineage: Eukaryota; Metazoa; Arthropoda; Arachnida; Ixodida; Ixodidae. The record is from RefSeq and is a predicted model, not a curated record.
CGCCAUCAGAGCUGCGCCCGCACCAGCCAACAAACAGCAGCUUCGCUCACUGCUCGGAGCUAUCAACUACAACGGCAAGUUUCUCCCACGUCUAGCGACGAUGGCACACCCACUGUACAGACUCCUGCGUGAAGACCAGACCUGGUCGUGGACCCGUGUCUGCCAGAACGCCUUCGACGACAUCAAGAACGCCCUGGCUUCCACGAAGGUCCUGGCCCACUACGAUCCGAAGAUGCCCCUUCAACUGGCCUGAGACGCGUCACAGUACGGGGAUGCGGAACUCAAGCCAUUUUUCAACAGGCGGACCCAGCUCACACUGCAUCACGGAUAUCUCCUCUGCGGCAUGCGUGUUGUCGUACCCCCAAAGCUCCGGCCUCUGGUUCUUCAAGAGCUCCACGACGGACAUCCUGGUCUGUGAAGGUUCAAGCGUCCCGUGGCCCCGCAGUGUGGCAUCGUCAUCAAGAUCAGCUGCUGCGCAGUGUUCCCACUGCCCAGCGUCAACCAAGAGCAGCAGGCAGAGGACACCUCGUGGGAGUGCUCUUCUACACCGGCUGCCAGCGGCACCCCUCACGUGACCGGCAGUCCUCGAGCACCCUUUCCUCAAGCAACGCCUGCUGAGAUUCCUGGAAGUCCGCAAGCGGCACCAGCCACCGUUUCGCCGCCUCCUGCUCCCAGAUACCCCACAAGAACCCGAAGACCUCCGGACCGCUAUUCCCCGACAUGGCACUGUUUAAGCGGGAGGGAAUGUUAUAGAUAGCGGCGCAGCCGAUAACAGUUUAUCAAAAGCCGCGUGUGCUCACGUGGUCCCGGCAGCUUCUAGAAAAGCAAGAGCUCUCGCUCCUUGCACUUUUUCUCACGCUUGGUACUGGUUAAGUUGCACCAUGUAGUAAU